RNAcentral lists this ribosomal RNA (443 nucleotides) under uncultured bacterium. Its description in RNAcentral is "partial 16S ribosomal RNA". It matches the Rfam family "Bacterial small subunit ribosomal RNA", at positions 338 to 795 of the family's 1533-position model. The record is from RNAcentral.
CCUACGGGGGGCUGCAGUGGGGAAUAUUGGGCAAUGGGCGCAAGCCUGACCCAGCAACGCCGCGUGAAGGAAGAAGGCUCUCGGGUUGUAAACUUCUUUUUUCAGGGACGAAGCAAGUGACGGUACCUGAGGAAUAAGCCACGGCUAACUACGUGCCAGCAGCAGCGGUAAUACGUAGGUGGCAAGCGUUAGCCGGAUUUACUGGGUGUAAAGGGCGUGUAGGCGGGACUGCAAGUCAGAUGUGAAAACCAUGGGCUCAACCUUUAUUCUGCAUUUGAAACUGUAGUUCUUGAGUACUGGAGAGGUAGACGGAAUUCGUGGUGUAGCGGUGAAAUGCGUAGAUAUUAGGAGGAACACCAGUGGCGAAGGCGGUCUGCUGGACAGCAACUGACGCUGAGGCGCGAAAGCGUGGGGAGCAAACAGGAUUAGAUACCCUGGUAGUC